AUACGUAGGUGGCAAGCGUUGUCCGGAUUUACUGGGUGUAAAGGGUGCGUAGGCGGGGCAGCAAGUUGGAUGUGAAAUCCUCGGGCUCAACUCGAGAACUGCAUUCAAAACUGUUGCUCUUGAGUGCAGUAGAGGCAAGCGGAAUUCCCGGUGUAGCGGUGAAAUGCGCAGAGAUCGGGAGGAACACCAGUGGCGAAGGCGGCUUGCUGGGCUGUUACUGACGCUGAGGCACGAAAGCAUGGGUAGCAAACAGGAUUAGAUACCCUGGUAGUCCAUGCUGCAAACGAUGAUUACUAGGUGUGGGUGGACUGACCCCAUCCGUGCCGGAGUUAACACAUUAAGUAAUCCACCUGGGGAGUACGGCCGCAAGGUUGAAACUCAAAUGAAUUGACGGGG
This 396-nucleotide ribosomal RNA is filed under the name uncultured bacterium. RNAcentral's name for it is "partial 16S ribosomal RNA". It matches the Rfam family "Bacterial small subunit ribosomal RNA", at positions 523 to 918 of the family's 1533-position model. The record is from RNAcentral.